RNAcentral lists this ribosomal RNA (324 nucleotides) under Triticum aestivum (bread wheat). Its description in RNAcentral is "partial small subunit ribosomal RNA". The record is from RNAcentral. Lineage: Eukaryota; Viridiplantae; Streptophyta; Magnoliopsida; Poales; Poaceae.
AUGGAGGACUUCGGUUACUCUUCCGACGAGCAUCUCCAACCCAGCGCCAAGCUCAGCCUAUUCUUCAAGGGCGUGGCGACGGCACUCCAGCGGCUUCGGGAGAAGAUCCCAAAGCAGCUGGCCGACGAGUCACGCAGGAUUUGUGCCGGUGCUCUUCAGAAGGUGCUGAUGAAGGUGGCCUUCCGCAACCCAGGCCUCAAAUUCACCAACGUCCUCAAAUCCUUGCCGGCGGAUGCCGACGUGGAAGCGCUCAAGGCCCUUGUUGCACCCAUUGUGGACAAGGUGAGCGGGAUCAAGAGGGUCGAGGGCGAUCGUGUAGACUAG